This 704-nucleotide long non-coding RNA is filed under the name Triticum aestivum (bread wheat). RNAcentral describes it as "long non-coding RNA (TAES_LNC014802)". Lineage: Eukaryota; Viridiplantae; Streptophyta; Magnoliopsida; Poales; Poaceae. The record is from RNAcentral.
UUCUAGUGUUUUCUUUCUUUUACUAAUUUUUCUUUGUCUAGUAUCAUCUCUGUCUCGUAGUUUCCCAUCCAUCUCACUAUGUUCGAACUUUUGGCAAUCUGGAAAUGAACUAUCUGUGAAAACACAUGCUCCAGUAUAAUCUGAGACGCCAAUUCAAGCAAAACAAUCAGUACUAUUCACAUUUAUUAACAACAGCUUGAGAUGCUCAUGUAGAGGCUAGUGCAAGCUACUAGUACUAGGCAUCCAGCGUGGUUGGAACAAACUAGAUGAACAAAUGAUUUAACGGGGUAGCACUACAUACACAGGCAUGAAUAGGAACAACGCUAUGUACCUGGAGACCGGCCACAACAGCAAGCGACACAUGCGACUACGUCAAACUUAACCACGAUGAGGCGGCCACCAACAGCGGACCGUCACCGAAGCCCUUAUUGAAUGAACACAUGCGACGAACACCUGCAUUUUGUUUUCCUUUUGUUUACUGAAUGGUCGUGAAGCUUCACAGUUGGAAGCUUUUAUGCAUGUCAAUCUUUCACAGUUGAAAGUAAUCUGAGCUAUCUCAAAACAUCGAACUGAUACAUACAUGCAAGAACGAAACCGGUACAAGCAAUACAAACAAUCAAUAUGAGGAGGAAUCUCUAGAUGAAUAAGAACAGAGCUUCAAGAAGAUUCAUCAAAUUCAUACCAAAAAUAUGAGGGGUCACGGU